UAGCGGCAGGCUUAACACAUGCAAGUCGAGGGGUAUCACGCUUUCGGGCGUGAGAGACCGGCGCACGGGUGCGUAACGCGUAUGCAAUCUACCUUUUGCAGAGGGAUAGCCCAGAGAAAUUUGGAUUAAUACCUCAUAGUAUAGAACAAUCGCAUGAUUGAACUAUUAAAAGUCACAACGGCAAAAGAUGAGCAUGCGUCCCAUUAGUUAGUUGGUAAGGUAACGGCUUACCAAGACUACGAUGGGUAGGGGUCCUGAGAGGGAGAUCCCCCACACUGGUACUGAGACACGGACCAGACUCCUACGGGAGGCAGCAGUGAGGAAUAUUGGACAAUGGGCGCAAGCCUGAUCCAGCCAUGCCGCGUGCAGGAUGACGGUCCUAUGGAUUGUAAACUGCUUUUGUACAGGAAGAAACACCUCUACGUGUAGAGACUUGACGGUACUGUAAGAAUAAGGAUCGGCUAACUCCGUG
RNAcentral lists this ribosomal RNA (472 nucleotides) under uncultured bacterium. RNAcentral's name for it is "bacterial SSU rRNA". It matches the Rfam family "Bacterial small subunit ribosomal RNA", at positions 37 to 507 of the family's 1533-position model. The record is from RNAcentral.